GGAGGGGUGGCAGAGCGGUUGAAUGCACCGGUCUUGAAAACCGGCAAGGGCUAACGCCCUUCGUGGGUUCAAAUCCCACCCCCUCCGCCA
Molecule: transfer RNA, 90 nt
Filed under: Gammaproteobacteria bacterium
Lineage: Bacteria; Pseudomonadati; Pseudomonadota; Gammaproteobacteria
Description: tRNA-Ser
Rfam family: tRNA
About the family: Transfer RNA (tRNA) molecules are approximately 80 nucleotides in length. Their secondary structure includes four short double-helical elements and three loops (D, anti-codon, and T loops). Further hydrogen bonds mediate the characteristic L-shaped molecular structure. tRNAs have two regions of fundamental functional importance: the anti-codon, which is responsible for specific mRNA codon recognition, and the 3' end, to which the tRNAs corresponding amino acid is attached (by aminoacyl-tRNA synthetases). tRNAs cope with the degeneracy of the genetic code in two manners: having more than one tRNA (with a specific anti-codon) for a particular amino acid; and 'wobble' base-pairing, i.e. permitting non-standard base-pairing at the 3rd anti-codon position.
Source: RNAcentral